UAAGUACUGUGGACUGAACCAAGAAAUGC
This 29-nucleotide non-coding RNA is filed under the name Bombyx mori (domestic silkworm). The record is from RNAcentral. Lineage: Eukaryota; Metazoa; Arthropoda; Insecta; Lepidoptera; Bombycidae.